AACGAACGCUGGCGGCAUGCCUCAUACAUGCAAGUCGAACGCAUGGUUUCGGCCAUGAGUGGCGCACGGGUGAGUAGCGCGUGGGAACCUGCCCUGUUGUGGGGGAUAACCGAUGGAAACGUCGGCUAAUACCGCAUGCGCCCGGGCAACCGGGGAAAGAUUUAUCGCAGCAGGAGGGGCCCGCGUCGGAUUAGCUAGUUGGUGGGGUAACGGCCUACCAAGGCGAUGAUCCGUAGCUGGUCUGAGAGGAUGAUCAGCCACACUGGGACU
This 270-nucleotide ribosomal RNA is filed under the name uncultured bacterium. RNAcentral's name for it is "partial 16S ribosomal RNA". It matches the Rfam family "Bacterial small subunit ribosomal RNA", at positions 29 to 320 of the family's 1533-position model. The record is from RNAcentral.